Molecule: ribosomal RNA, 254 nt
Filed under: uncultured bacterium
Lineage: Bacteria
Description: partial 16S ribosomal RNA
Rfam family: Bacterial small subunit ribosomal RNA
Source: RNAcentral
UACGUAGGGGACAAGCGUUGUCCGGAAUUAUUGGGCGUAAAGAGCUCGUAGGCGGUGUGUCGCGUCGGCCGUGAAAACCUGCAGCUUAACUGUGGGCGUGCGGUCGAUACGGGCAUCACUGGAGUUCGGCAGGGGAGACUGGAAUUCCUGGUGUAGCGGUGAGAUGCGCAGAUAUCAGGAGGAACACCGGUGGCGAAGGCGGGUCUCUGGGCCGAUACUGACGCUGAGGAGCGAAAGCGUGGGGAGCGAACAGG